UACGGAGGGUGCGAGCGUUAUUCGGAAUUACUGGGCGUAAAGCGCGUGUAGGCGGGGAGAUAAGUCUGAUGUGAAAGCCCUGGGCUUAACCUGGGAAGUGCAUUGGAAACUGGUUUUCUUGAGUACUGGAGAGGAAGGGGGAAUUUCCGGUGUAGAGGUGAAAUUCGUAGAGAUCGGGAGGAAUACCAGUGGCGUAGGCGCCCUUCUGGACGGUAACUGACGCUGAGACGCGAAAGCGUGGGGAGCAAACAGG
Molecule: ribosomal RNA, 253 nt
Filed under: uncultured prokaryote
Description: partial 16S ribosomal RNA
Rfam family: Bacterial small subunit ribosomal RNA
Source: RNAcentral